This 70-nucleotide transfer RNA is filed under the name Rattus norvegicus (Norway rat). It matches the Rfam family "tRNA". From Rfam's summary of the family: Transfer RNA (tRNA) molecules are approximately 80 nucleotides in length. Their secondary structure includes four short double-helical elements and three loops (D, anti-codon, and T loops). The record is from Rfam by way of RNAcentral. Lineage: Eukaryota; Metazoa; Chordata; Mammalia; Rodentia; Muridae.
GGGGAUUUGGCUCAGUGGUAGAGCGCUUGCCUAGGAAGCGCAAGGUCCUGGGUUCAAUCCCCAGCCCCCA